This 207-nucleotide ribosomal RNA is filed under the name uncultured bacterium. Its description in RNAcentral is "partial 16S ribosomal RNA". It matches the Rfam family "Bacterial small subunit ribosomal RNA", at positions 568 to 774 of the family's 1533-position model. The record is from RNAcentral.
CACGUAGGCGGCUUAUCAAGUCAGGGGUGAAAUCCCGGGGCUCAACCCCGGAACUGCCCUUGAAACUGCUAAGCUAGAAUCUUGGAGAGGCGAGUGGAAUUCCGAGUGUAGAGGUGAAAUUCGUAGAUAUUCGGAAGAACACCAGUGGCGAAGGCGACUCGCUGGACAAGUAUUGACGCUGAGGUGCGAAAGCGUGGGGAGCAAACA